Tulasnella sp. 418 is the source of this 98-nucleotide non-coding RNA. Lineage: Eukaryota; Fungi; Basidiomycota; Agaricomycetes; Cantharellales; Tulasnellaceae. The record is from the annotation of a GenBank genome assembly.
GGGGAUCUAGCUCAUCGGUAGAGCGCUUCCUUAGCAUACAAAAAGGCCCAGCUUACGUAAGCUGGAAGAGGUAGCGGGUUCGACUCCCUCGUUCUCCA